RNAcentral lists this ribosomal RNA (253 nucleotides) under uncultured bacterium. Its description in RNAcentral is "partial 16S ribosomal RNA". It matches the Rfam family "Bacterial small subunit ribosomal RNA", at positions 524 to 776 of the family's 1533-position model. The record is from RNAcentral.
UACGGAGGGUGCAAGCGUUAUCCGGAUUCACUGGGUUUAAAGGGUGCGUAGGUGGGCUGGUAAGUCAGUGGUGAAAUCUCCAGGCUUAACUUGGAAACUGCCAUUGAUACUAUCAGUCUUGAAUACCGUGGAGGUCAGCGGAAUAUGUCAUGUAGCGGUGAAAUGCUUAGAUAUGACAUAGAACACCAAUUGCGAAGGCAGCUCACUACCCAGAUAUUGACACUGAGGCACGAAAGCGUGGGGAUCAAACAGG